Molecule: ribosomal RNA, 524 nt
Filed under: Uloma opacipennis
Lineage: Eukaryota; Metazoa; Arthropoda; Insecta; Coleoptera; Tenebrionidae
Description: partial 16S ribosomal RNA
Rfam family: Bacterial large subunit ribosomal RNA
Source: RNAcentral
CAAAAACAUGUUUUUUUGAUUUUGAUUGAAGGUUUGGCCUGCCCAAUGAAGUUUAAAUGGCCGCAGUAUUUUGACUGUGCAAAGGUAGCAUAAUCAUUAGUUUCCUAAUUAGGAGCUGGAAUGAAAGGUUUGAUGAGAAAUCAGCUGUCUCAUGGUUAUUGUGAUUGAAUUUUAUUUUUGAGUUAAAAAGCUCAAAUUUUGUAUAGGGACGAGAAGACCCUAUAGAGUUUUAUUAUUUUCAUUUUUAUAGGGAGAAGGUUAGGUUGAUUAUAAAAUUUGAAUUAAUUUUGUUGGGGUGAUGGAAAAAUUUAUUUAACUUUUUUUUUAUUUUUACACUAUUGAGUGAUUUUUUGAUCCUUUUUUUAAGAUUAUAAGAUUAAAUUACCUUAGGGAUAACAGCGUAAUUUCUUUUGAAAGUUCAUAUUUAUAAAGGAGUUUGCGACCUCGAUGUUGGAUUAAAGUUAAUUUUUGGUGUAGAGGCUAAAAUAUUAGGUCUGUUCGACCUUUGAAACUUUACAUGAUCU